AAAGAAGAACCAAUUAAAGAAUGCAAAUUUCUUGGGCACCUCUUUCUCGUCUGCCUCGUCGAAUUGAUCUGCCCCAAAUGAUGAGACGCAUGGCUUGAUCCCACCUGUACCAAGGGCUAUGAGGCCCAGCGCACAGAUGAGGCCCAGGACUCUCUCUCCCUUGAAAGGAAAAAAGCAAAUAAAAAAAGGAAGGACUGGUUCUAACCACUGCAUAGACGCAAGAGAAGAGAAUGAUGGUCUUGAAUCGACCCAGAUAAGCAUCAGCUAGAAAUGCUCCAAGAAUAGUGAGGACGUAGGCAGCUCCAAUCCAAUCCGUCACAUGAGUAAUAGCAUUUGGAAGAGAUUGUCGCAUUUCACCGGCCAAAUAAGCAACCAUAUUCACAGCUAUUGCAAAAAAUGCUAAUCUCUCUGCCACCUCAUUCACUGCAACCAAAACAAGUUAGUUUAAAUCUCCAUGCAUGUUUGUCCCAAUUCAGAUUAUCUAAGAAUUUGCAACCAAAAUUUUGUUUUACCUAUUAUAAAUGGAGAGGCCUUCCAUCCUCCAGUAUAUCUCUUGUCUGCAAUUCUACCUCUAAUAUCAACACAACCAUUGCUCACUAAUGUGGUUGACACCGUCUCUUCCUGCAAAAUCAUAAGCAUUUCAAUUAAAGAUACUAAUUAUAGCAAUACUGUCAUGUGCAAUUAGUGCAGAAUUCAAUGUUACUUACCUUGUGGUAUUGAUCUUCUACGAGUUUUUCCAUUGAAGGUUUCAUAAAGGACUUCUCUAAUGGAUCACCACAGGUCUGAUGAGUUAUAUCCAUAUAAUAUCAAGAUUUUAGUCUCUAGUGCAGUUAGUGUCUGGAAAGCUAAAAGGGUACUCUACUCUUUUAGAUCAGGAAUGUGCUACUAUGGUGCAUCAUAUAAAUAUUAGAGGUCAGCUUGCUUAUGAUACAACAAUUAUCUUGAUAUAACGUUUGAAACUAGUUUUGGGACCUUCUUUCAGGUUUCUGUUUGGACGCAUUAUAGGCAUAAUUAAGUUGCCGGCCGCAGAGAUAACAUGUUAAAUUUGUUCCUGCAUAGCAGAUGCUCACACAUGGGCCGCAAAUAAGAUGUACAUUAAGGCAAAAACUGGCAGAAUCUAUUGAUAAAGACCAUUGUUUAGGACCCAUUCAAACUGCCGCCUGAAGUCUUUUUGGGUCCAAAACUUGAUAUAGGCAUCAUCGAUUUUCUUGUUUGUUAGCUGCUUUAGAAUAGUCUCAGUUGCUGUUCCAAUUCUGAAUCUCUUUAUACUAUUAAAUUAAAAAGAUACUAAUUUUUUUUCCAUAA
This is a long non-coding RNA of Ricinus communis (castor bean), 1305 nucleotides long. RefSeq lists it as uncharacterized. The record is from RefSeq and is a predicted model, not a curated record. The transcript has 2 exons. Lineage: Eukaryota; Viridiplantae; Streptophyta; Magnoliopsida; Malpighiales; Euphorbiaceae.